GAUUAGUGCCACCAUUAAAAUUUUAGUAAGUGCAGGGGUGAGUCAAUCAUAUUUUGACUUUUUUUUUUUUAACCAGUCAGCCUCCAGAAAAAUGCAGAUGACUCCUGAAGAACUCUGGACUAUCACAGGCACAAUCAUGCAGUAAGCGAUCAUCACAGCUAUGGUGCCAGAUAUUUCACAUAUUAUUCAGCAAUUUAUUGAGGAGUACUCUCUUCUCCAUUACAAUCAAUCAAGAGGUUUUGUGUUUUAGGUAAUAAGGUACUAACUGUAUUAGAAAGCAGCAACAGUGAGCUGUGGUUGGCACUGGAAAUCCAAAAGCAGUGGAUAGUAGAGGAAACUAAGAAGUGCAAGAUUAUCCAUGUCCUUCUGAAUUGGAAUCGCUGACUCAUUUAUUCUUUUCGAAAUGUAAUCAUUUUACAUUGAUUCAAUCAUAAAAGAGUAAGUACAAAAGAAAGAUAUAAAAAAUAAAAAAGCUUCCUUUGACCCUAAAUACCCAUUAUCUACAGUCCUAUUUAUCUGUUCCAAUUAAUAAUCAAUUCUUGAACUAUAUCCACUUUUUCUUAUCUUUCAUUCAACCCUCAGAUGAUUUCAGUAUGAUUUCUACUCACCGCUAAUGAAAAUGCAGCAGUAACAUCACCUUUAUAACAAAUCCAAUGAACAUUUUAAUCACAUCAUAUUUUAUCAUCUAAGGCACUUUCAAAUUCUCAGAAUCUUCACCAUUUUAAAUGCAAAUGAAAAAAAUUUUGCAAAGUCAAUUAAUAAUGAAUCAUCAAAGAGAAUGCAGCCACCCAAGGAAACAAAGUUUGAAGAAGUUGGGAAAGAUCAUUUCACAAGACAGCCAUUCAUUCUAUUGUGUGGCCUUCUGAACUUUAUUCAAGAGGAAACCUGCUAGAAGGGAAAUUAGCUGACAGUCUCCAGGUGCUUUCAGGAUCUGCCUCAGCAUUUGUGCCAUGGCACACAACAGAAUUUCUGUACCCCAUCCAAUGCCUGAGCAUCAUGAUGAUAUAAGAAUUCAACAUUUCAGACCACAUGGAACUGUUUGAAAAACAUCUUGGCAUUGAAAUUUCCUGUUGGACUAGCCAGGAUUUUCUCUAGGCUAUCCCACUGUCUAUGGGUCUUCCUAGUCAGCCUUCUUUCUUUCAUCCCAAUGAAUCUCAAUAAAUCUGUUGUACUUAAUACA
This 1180-nucleotide long non-coding RNA is filed under the name Vulpes vulpes (red fox). Its description in RNAcentral is "lncRNA (ENSVVUG00000014322.1)". Lineage: Eukaryota; Metazoa; Chordata; Mammalia; Carnivora; Canidae. The record is from RNAcentral.